CCCCUAGUUUCGUCUCUUCAGCCAUGUCUUUCUUGGUGACCCAAAACCAUCUGAAGCGCAACCCCGAUCUCCCCCUAAAAUCAUAUCUUUUCUACAAUAGAUACCUUGGUGGUGAAAAUUGUUUCAGCUGGGUCCAUGUCCUCAGAUGGGGUCUUUAGCACUAAUGGCACCUCCUCAACUGGAUCCAUGAUGAGCUCGGCCCAA
Molecule: long non-coding RNA, 204 nt
Filed under: Elaeis guineensis (African oil palm)
Lineage: Eukaryota; Viridiplantae; Streptophyta; Magnoliopsida; Arecales; Arecaceae
Description: long non-coding RNA (EGUI_LNC040888)
Source: RNAcentral